Molecule: ribosomal RNA, 490 nt
Filed under: uncultured bacterium
Lineage: Bacteria
Description: partial 16S ribosomal RNA
Rfam family: Bacterial small subunit ribosomal RNA
Source: RNAcentral
AUUGAACGCUGGCGGCAGGCCUAACACAUGCAAGUCGAGUGGUAACAGGAAACAGCUUGCUGUUUCGCUGACGAGUGGCGGACGGGUGAGUCAUGUCGGGGAAACUGCCUGAUGGAGGGGGUUAACUACUGGAAACGGUAGCUAAAACCGCAUAACGUCGCAAGACCAAAGAGGGGGAGCUUCGGGCCUCUUGGCAUUAGCUGAGCCCAGAUGGGAUUAGCCAGUAGGUAGGGUAACGGCUCACCUAGGCGACGAUCCCUAGCUGGUCUGAGAGGGUGACCAGCCACACUGGAACUGAGACACGGUCCAGACUCCUACGGGAGGCAGCAGUAGGGAAUAUUGCGCAAUGGGCGCAAGCCUGAUGCAGCCAUGCCGCGUGUAUGAAGAAGGUCUUCGGGUUGUAAAGUACUUUCAGUAGGGAGGAAGGGAGUAAAGUUAAUACCUGCGCUUAUUGACGUUACCCGCAGAAGAAGCCCCGGCUAACUCCGUG